CUGGGUUAAAACCAAGGGAGAAAAGAAGAGAGGGAAAGUCAGCAGCAGGGGACAGUGGAUGCUAUAGACCCCAAAGCAGGAAGAGGAGAUAGAAGAGAGGUUCCUAAACAGUUGCUGGUAUCUACAUCCAUGUGUCUAUAUCAGACAAGCUGAGCCCAGGAUCUAUGGAGGGCUGAAGACUGUAUGUGAAACUCUGUGGUCUGUCUUGCUGACAUCUGUGAGGCCAGGAGGACAGCAUGUCAUGGAACAUCCAGGAAAGUGGCUUGUAGUCAUCAUAGGUGCUGGAACUAGAGAUGCUGCCACACCCCCGGCUUGAAGUGGUUUCCAUUAUAGACCAUGUUUACAGUUUGGUUCAAUGGCUCUCAGCACCCCCACUAUACAAAUUGUUCCCUGAUAGUCAUCAUAUCCAUUGGUUCCCAGAUUGCCUUAGUGAGGUUAUGGGACAUUCCCCAUCUAACAGGCAUGAGAAUGGGAGGGGCUAACAGGAUUGCUGCCUCCAGAGCACCCUCUGGUGGCCUAGGUGGGCCUGCAGUUUUCCCUCAGCAACUUGGCCCUCCUUGCUAAGUUGUUAGCAAAAAAGCACCCCUUCCAGGUUAUACAAAUCCAAAACCAAACACAAAACAGAGUCUUUGACCAAGCCUUAAAUUGGGCCCAGCUCCUCCUUCCUAGAGUUACCACCUUUGAAAUGCAAAAAAAUUAGCACGUCCCACACACAAGGCAAGCCCGCUGCAACCCCAACACUCAACCACAAGGCAGCCCCCCCCUUCAACAGCCACUUAUCAGAUCGAGAGAGAGAGAACACAUAUUGAUAAGAUUGAUAACAUCAUUUUCUUAUCUUGGUCAUGUUUUUCCAAACUGCUGUGUUUGUGUCCAUCUUCACUGAGAUUAUUUUUUCCCAAACGGCAUUGAUUCUAUAAUUUAAACUAAAUAAUUGAAUGUUUUGGAACUUUAUACAUAAAGGAAAUCCAUUGAGUC
Long non-coding RNA from Dermochelys coriacea (leatherback sea turtle), 975 nucleotides. RefSeq lists it as uncharacterized. The transcript has 2 exons. The record is from RefSeq and is a predicted model, not a curated record. Lineage: Eukaryota; Metazoa; Chordata; Testudines; Dermochelyidae.